UACGGAGGGUGCGAGCGUUGUCCGGAUUUAUUGGGUUUAAAGGGUGCGUAGGUGGCUAAUUAAGUCAGUGGUGAAAUACAGCCGCUCAACGGUUGAGGUGCCAUUGAUACUGAUUAGCUUGAAAUAAUUGGAGGCUGCCGGAAUGGAUGGUGUAGCGGUGAAAUGCAUAGAUAUCAUCCAGAACACCGAUUGCGAAGGCAGGUGGCUACGAUUUAUUUGACACUGAGGCACGAAAGCAUGGGGAGCAAACAGG
This 253-nucleotide ribosomal RNA is filed under the name uncultured bacterium. RNAcentral's name for it is "partial 16S ribosomal RNA". It matches the Rfam family "Bacterial small subunit ribosomal RNA", at positions 524 to 776 of the family's 1533-position model. The record is from RNAcentral.